AUCGAUGAAGAACGCAGCGAAAUGCGAUAAGUAAUGUGAAUUGCAGAAUUCAGUGAAUCAUCGAAUCUUUGAACGCACCUUGCGCCCUCUGGUAUUCCGGAGGGCAUGCCUGUUUGAGUGUCAUUAAAUUCUCAACUUCAAAAGUUUUUAUUAACUUAUUGAGGCUUGGAUGUGGGGGUUUGUUGGCGUCUUUAGAUGUUCAGCUCCCCUUAAAUGCAUUAGUGGAAUUCCCGUUUGGUUGGUCCAUCUUGGUGUGAUAAUUAUCUACGCUUUGCUUGGUUCAACUGUGUCAGGUGUGCUUAGGCUAGAUCCUGGUUGUGAUAUUGCAUUAAGUUGCUUUAUCUGAUUGUGGGAAAUUUAUCUGCUUUCUAACCGUCUGUUGUUUCAGACAAUUUAUUGACUAUUUGACCUCAAAUCAGGUAGGACUACCCGCUGAACUUAAGCAUAUCAAUAAGCGGAGGAAAAGAAACUAACAAGGAUUCCCCUAGUAACUGCGAGUGAAGAGGGAAAAGCUCAAAUUUAAAAUCUGGCAGUCUUUGAUUGUCCGAGUUGUAAUUUAGAGAAGUGUUACCCGUGUUGGCCCGUGUACAAGUUUCCUGGAAUGGAACGUCAUAGAGGGUGAGAAUCCCGUCUUUGACACGGACUACCAAUGCAUUGUGGUAUGCUCUCGAAGAGUCGAGUUGUUUGGGAAUGCAGCUCUAAAUGGGUGGUAAAUUCCAUCUAAAGCUAAAUAUUGGGGAGAGACCGAUAGCGAACAAGUACCGUGAGGGAAAGAUGAAAAGAACUUUGGAAAGAGAGUUAAACAGUACGUGAAAUUGCUGAAAGGGAAACGCUUGAAGUCAGUCGCGUUAGUCGGGGAUCAGCCUUCCUUUUGGUUGGUGUACUUCCUGAUUGACGGGUCAGCAUCAGUUUUGACCGGUGGAUAAGAGCUUGAGGAAUGUGGCAUCUUCGGGUGUGUUAUAGCCUCUUGUUGUAUACAUCGGUUGGGACUGAGGAACUCAGCACGCCGCAAGGCCGGGUUUUUAACCACGUACGUGCUUAGGAUGCUGGCAUAAUGGCUUUAAUCGACCCGUCUUGAAACACGG
RNAcentral lists this ribosomal RNA (1085 nucleotides) under uncultured fungus. RNAcentral describes it as "eukaryotic LSU rRNA". The stretch from base 406 to 1085 matches the Rfam family "Eukaryotic large subunit ribosomal RNA", at positions 1 to 664 of the family's 3401-position model. The record is from RNAcentral. Lineage: Eukaryota; Fungi.